This 253-nucleotide ribosomal RNA is filed under the name uncultured bacterium. RNAcentral's name for it is "partial 16S ribosomal RNA". It matches the Rfam family "Bacterial small subunit ribosomal RNA", at positions 524 to 776 of the family's 1533-position model. The record is from RNAcentral.
UACGAAGGGGGCUAGCGUUGCUCGGAAUCACUGGGCGUAAAGGGUGCGUAGGCGGUCGGAUAAGUUUGAUGUGAAAUCUCCGGGCUUAACCCGGAAACUGCAUUGAAUACUAUUCGGCUUGAGGUCUGGAGGGGGGACUGGAAUUCUCGGUGUAGCAGUGAAAUGCGUAGAUAUCGAGAGGAACACCUGCGGCGAAGGCGGGUUGCUGGGCUGACACUGACGCUGAUGCGCGAAAGCUAGGGGAGCGAACGGG